CCUACGGGAGGCAGCAGUGAGGAAUAUUGGUCAAUGGACGAGAGUCUGAACCAGCCAAGUAGCGUGAAGGAUGACUGCCCUAUGGGUUGUAAACUUCUUUUAUAUGGGAAUAAAAUGUUCCACGUGUGGGCUUUUGUAUGUACCAUAUGAAUAAGGAUCGGCUAACUCCGUGCCAGCAGCCGCGGUAAUACGGAGGAUCCGAGCGUUAUCCGGAUUUAUUGGGUUUAAAGGGAGCGUAGGUGGAGUGUUAAGUCAGUUGUGAAAGUUUGCGGCUCAACCGUAAAAUUGCAGUUGAAACUGGCAGUCUUGAGUACAGUAGAGGUGGGCGGAAUUCGUGGUGUAGCGGUGAAAUGCUUAGAUAUCACGAAGAACUCCGAUUGCGAAGGCAGCUCACUGGACUGCAACUGACACUGAGGCUCGAAAGUGUGGGUAUCAAACAGGAUUAGAUACCCUUGUAGUC
RNAcentral lists this ribosomal RNA (460 nucleotides) under uncultured bacterium. RNAcentral describes it as "partial 16S ribosomal RNA". It matches the Rfam family "Bacterial small subunit ribosomal RNA", at positions 338 to 795 of the family's 1533-position model. The record is from RNAcentral.